AUGGCCGCCUCCUACUACAACCCGCCGCCUGCCAGGACCUCCUACGCUACCCUGCCCCCUCCCCCGCCGGGCACCUCUUCGUACGGCACGUAUCGCCAACACGAGCACGCCUACCUCGCGGCGCACCCGCCGCCCGCGUAUGGCGGCUACUUCGACCGCGCGGAGCCCCUGGCGCCGCCGCGCGACGAGCUGCGCACCCUCUUCAUCGCCGGCCUCCCCGCCGACGUCAAGCCCCGCGAGGUCUACAACCUUUUCCGCGACUUCCCCGGCUACGUCUCCUCCCACGUACGCUCCGGCAAAUCCACCCAGUCGUAUGCGUUUGCUGUGUUUGCAGAUCAGCCGUCUGCGCUAGCUGCAAUGAGUGUCACAAAUGGAUUGACAUUUGACCUUGAGAAGAACUGUUCUAUCCAUGUAGAUCUUGCAAAAUCUAAUUCAAGAUCAAACUCAUCAAAGCGCCCCAGAUCAGAUUAUGAGGAUUUCCCUAAAUCUACUGGGAAAAAAGCUAGAAGUCCAAGGGGACGUCCUGAUUCAGGUGCUGGAAGCAAUAUUCACAUGUCCGGAAUGGGUAAUUCUUCACACAGCUUGAAUGGCUAUCCUGCACAAAGUUAUACAGAUUUUGGUUCUAGUGCUGCUUUCAGCAAGGAUCCAGCAAUAUUUGCUCCUCAAAAUAAUCCGCCAUGUCCUACCCUUUUUGUUGCAAAUCUCGGUCAGACUGUUUCUGAUCGUGAGCUGAAUGAUGUUUUCUCAAGUUGUGAGGGAUUCAUAAAGCUGAAGAUGCAAAACAAGUUCGGAUCACCAGUUGCAUUUGUUGAUUUCAAGGAUGAUCACAGUUCAACUGAAGCCCUGAAACGUCUUCAAGGAGCUAUUCUACAUUCAUCAUCUGGCGAGGGCAUGCGUUUAGAAUAUGCUAAAUCCCGGAUGGGCCUUCGCAAGCAGCGUGACAGCCGGUCCUAA
RNAcentral lists this ribosomal RNA (954 nucleotides) under Triticum aestivum (bread wheat). Its description in RNAcentral is "partial small subunit ribosomal RNA". Lineage: Eukaryota; Viridiplantae; Streptophyta; Magnoliopsida; Poales; Poaceae. The record is from RNAcentral.